RNAcentral lists this unclassified non-coding RNA (299 nucleotides) under Melitaea cinxia (Glanville fritillary). RNAcentral describes it as "misc RNA ENSMCXG00005016984.1". Lineage: Eukaryota; Metazoa; Arthropoda; Insecta; Lepidoptera; Nymphalidae. The record is from RNAcentral.
AAAUUAACACAUGUAAAUUAUAUAAUGUGGUUUUUUUUAAUAAUCAUUGCAAUCUUAUUUGUACUAUAUCACUAUGGCGAUCCCAUCUAAAGCACAUAAAUGGUGUGGAACUGUAUUUAGAACGUCGACGGUAUAGACGAGAAGUAAUAAAACAACAUCAUAAUAUAAUAUAUUUUAUUAUUUUAUUAUCAAGUAAUAAAAAUAAAAUGAGGACGGAAAUAAAAGGUAUUCCGAUCUGCUUUUUGAAUGUUUAUCUCAUGGAUAUGGAACAAUUAUGGCAAGAAAUGGAAAUUAAAAAA